Molecule: ribosomal RNA, 469 nt
Filed under: uncultured eukaryote
Lineage: Eukaryota
Description: bacterial SSU rRNA
Rfam family: Eukaryotic small subunit ribosomal RNA
Source: RNAcentral
AAGCAUUCGGCAAGGACGCUUUCAUUAAUCAAGAACGAAAGUCGGGGGAUCGAAGACGAUCAGAUACCGUCGUAGUCCCGACCGUAAACGAUGCCGACCGAGGGCCCGGAGGAGUUACGUACGACCCUCCGGGCCCUCCCGCGAGAAAUCAGGAGUAUUCGGGUUCCGGGGGGAGGUAUGGUCGCAAGGCCGAAACUUAAAGGAAUUGACGGAAGGGGCACCACCAGGAGUGGAAUCUGCGGCUUAAUUUGACUCAACGCGGGAAAACUCACCAGGUCAGGACACGGUAAGGAUUGACGGACUGAAGGCUCUUUCUCGAUUCCGUGGAAAGUGGUGCAUGGCCGUUUUUGGUUGUGGAUCGAUCCGUCUGGUUAAUUCCGUUAACGUAACGAGACCUCGGCACUCCGAAUAGCGCGGCGGACGUCGCGGCCUCCGGGCCCGUCUUCCGCACGAGCUUCUUAGAGGGACC